RNAcentral lists this long non-coding RNA (566 nucleotides) under Sus scrofa (pig). Its description in RNAcentral is "lncRNA (ENSSSCG00015065618.1)". The record is from RNAcentral. Lineage: Eukaryota; Metazoa; Chordata; Mammalia; Artiodactyla; Suidae.
CGAGAGGGUGACCCAGCCUGAUUGGCAGGGAACUGAAAAGUGACUGGAGAAAGGCGGGAUUUGGGAGGAGGAACCUAAAAGGAGGCGGGGCCGGUGAGAAGCCUGGCUUGGAAAAUUGCACAGGGCUAAGCAAGACUUGGGGGAGGAAGGAAAAGAAGUAAAACUAGAGAAAAGAUGGACUUGCUCUGGGGAACGAUGAAAACGCCAGGAAGUGGAGAGGCUUAGACGAAAGGGAAAAGGAAGACACUAAUGUCAUCUCAGAAAUAUCUCCUCCCCAACCCGACACACUCCAGUGCUGCUUGGACUUGAAGUUGAUGGAAAACUCUACAUUUAUGCCAGUUUCCAAGAAGAAAACUAAAGUCAGACUUGGCAGCACAGGUAAGUUUCUGCUUUAUUCAGUUUAAAGCUGCUUCUGUUUUGUUUUAUGAGGAUGGGAGGAGGGAUGUGACAUUUCCCUAUACAAAAUGCACAAGAGAUUAGAGACUACUGUUUUUAUAAAUCCUUUUAGUUCUCACUUUUUUUUUUUUUUUUUUUUUUUUUUUUUUUUUUUUUUUUUUUUUUUUUUU